Long non-coding RNA from Passer domesticus (house sparrow), 3437 nucleotides. RefSeq lists it as uncharacterized. The transcript is spliced from 4 exons. The record is from RefSeq and is a predicted model, not a curated record. NCBI's taxonomy places the organism in Eukaryota, Metazoa, Chordata, Aves, Passeriformes, Passeridae.
UGAGGGUGCACCUGUGCGAGGGGACGCCAGGGGAAGGGAAAGGCCGCUGGCCUCCGUCCCGGCGGGGAAGUGGCUCCGGUGCUGGCCGCGGAGAGAUCAUGUCGACCUAAUGAUCCCAUGAGGUUUAAACAGCUAACAUUUAGGUCUGUACUCAACUAAAUCCUCAUCUCUGGCCUUUAUCCUCAUGGUGGACUUCAGCUUAUCAGAUGUCUGCUGGAAAUGCAAAACAGUUUAGAGGAAACAGUCAAGGAGGCUCCUGGACUGUGUGGAAGGUGGCUUCCCCACACAUCUGGUGAGUGUGCCAGCUGGGGAAGCUGCCCUGCUGGAGCUCCUGUUUGUGAACAGAAGAGGACUGUAGGUGAUGUAAUGGUCAGCAGCAGUCUUGGGCACAGCAGCCAUUAAAUGAUAAGACGUUCCUAUUCUUGGAAAACUAAGGAGGAGCUCAGCAGAAUUGCUGUCUUGGACUCCCAAAGCCUUGGCAGGCUUUCUCCUUUUUAGGAGCCUCAUUGGUAGAGUCCCUUGGGAGGCAGUCCUGAAGGGCAAAGUAUUCCAGGAAAGCUGGAUGUUCCUCAAGAAGGGACUUUUAAAGACACUGGUGCAGGCUGUCCCCAUCUGCCAAAAGACUGCGAUGGCUGAACAGAGAGCUUUAUCUGGAACUCAGGAAAAAAAGGAGAGUUGAUUACCUUUGGAAGAAUGGCCUGGCAGCUCAGCAGGACUACAAGGACAUCAUGAGGUCUUGCAGGGAGGAAAUCGGAAGGACCAAAACCCAGCUAAGACUUAACCUGGCUACUGUAAAAGACAAUAAAACUGUUUCAAUAAAUACCUUUGUGACAAAUGAAGGAAGCGCCAUGGAGGCUCUCCAUCCUUUGUUGAAUGGGAGGGGAAACACAGAGAAUGAAGAAAAGGCUGAGCUGCUGACACAGUUUCCAAAGCUUUAACUUCUUCAGGUCAAAGGGCACAGCAGGCUGCUGCACUGCUCCAGCACAGAUUGAUUGGUAGAUGGAGAACAAGUCCUCUUCCUACGGUGCCUUUCCUCCUACAGAGAUUUUGUGUAGAAACUUGCAUGCAGCUGAGCCUUCCCUGUGUUGGCCAGGGAGAUGGUGGGCGAUUGGAACUGGUCUGGCUUGGUCCAACAUCCACAAGUGGCAGCAGAAACUGCACUAAACUGUGCCUGUCUUGCUGCAGGACUCAGGUGGAGACAUCCCUGCCCAGCGUGAAAACUGAGUCCAUAACAGGGUGCUGCUAAAGCCUGCUGAUGAUCUCAUCCACGCUUCCAGACCACUCAAGCCUGUCCAGCAAGCCAGGCUGUACAAUGGAGGAGGUGGCCAAGAAAAGCAAAGAGACAAAUUGCUUCACUGUUGUAUCUGCUGUGACUGCUAAAGAAAGAUGGGAAACCAAGGCAAUUGCCAAGGUUAUUACUGAUUUCACCAUUUGCUGCCUUUCACAGUAAUAUUAGGUGUUCAUCCUCCAUUUUUGAAAGUUAGUAGUUCUACAUUUCAUUUAAUCAUUAGAAUAUAAUAAAACACAAUAACACUUUAAAAUUUUUGUCAAGUUAUUUUGAGAAAUAUGGUUCUUGGUGUUUUUAAAUUUUUAACUCAAUUUUCAUGAGGAGGGAAGGAAAGCACAUUGAACUCCUCAUGUAUUCCAAUAUAAUUUCCCAGACUUUGGUAUAGCUCAAAGCUUUAUGUGGAAAAGCCAAUUAAGGCUGAUCCUGGCACUUUAGCAGCACCAGUAAGUAACUUACCUUAAGACCAAAGACACCAAAACUAUAGUCAAGGAUUCUUAGUGACAAUGUAGCUCAAGUGCAGGAAUACACAUGUCUGCAUUAAUUUUGAACUUAAAUUUUAUCUGUACUGAGUGAAAUAAAAAUACCCUCUUCUCUGACAUAGAAGUCUGCUCCAUUUUGAAUUUGACUCGGGCAUUUAAAAAAUAGCUUUCUCUAUCUGUCAGUGAGGACAGAUUCAAAUAUCCAGGAUUGUAGUAGCCUUUUUCCCCACUUCAAUGUGAGCAAAGUGACCAGAGACUAUCACAAGGAGAACAAAGAGACUUUAUCAUCUAAGCUUACUUCUUACUAUCCACGAUUGGUGAACGUAUGUUGCAGCUUUGAAAGAAAACAAUAACUCUGCAGGAUUUUAGGCUUUUAUUAAAAAUUUAUGAAGCUAGCAAUUCAAAGUCAGUUAAAAUCUGAACCUAACUAUCCCAACUGUAGGAAAACUAACUACUAUGAAACAAUACAGUUACGGUUCAAAUAAUGAUAAUCAAAGUAAUUGUUGUAUAAAUAAAAUGUUAUGAAGUCACAAAUUAUUUGGAGCAAUGGGUGAGAUUAUCAAGGAAACACUGUAUGCUUUAAGUAGUGAAUGUAUGUAAUACACUCAGAAGAAGGCUUGAAGUAUGCUCUCAGUUCUUGAACAAGUGGUAUAUGAAGUACUGAAAUAUGAGUAUAUACAAAUAGAGGGAAUAUGCAUCAACAAAAGAGAAAAGUAGUGACUUAAGACUUUUUUUGUCUUGUGUUUUCCACUGGUUACAUGUAGAUAGCUUCCUGCUCAUCAUUUAAGUCUUCUAGAUCCCAUUUCAGGAGGAAUUUCGGCUAGGAUUUGAGAUGUGCUGCUUUAAAGGGGACCCAUGCUCUUAUUUUUUAUGGUCUGGCUCAGACCAGAUGUCUCAUGAAGUCUGGUGUAAAUGAUUCAGUAGUUAAGGGAAAAGAUAACAUCUUCAGUUGGUAUGGUCUUUGGAGGAUGAGGGUUAGAGCUGUAAUCAGCCAAUUUCAUUCCUCUUUGCUAAUUCAUACCAUGCAAUUUACUUUAAUCACGGGGCUCCUCAGGGUAGCAAGUUAUGUGACUUCGUGUUGUUCUCAUUUGGCCUGAAGACACUGGUGUUUUCUAGAGAAAACCAUAUGUGCCAAGUUUCCUACCUCAAUGAGAAAGAACAGUCCAUACUCAGUGGCACGUACUCAACUGGACAUUAGUGUAGCAUGCAGCAGACAAAUUCAGAGUAUAAAAAUCCACUCCAAGAUAAGUGACUGCAGAUAUGUUUUUUUCUUUCUCACAGCUUUUCUGUGAGUAGUAAAAACCUCUUCUAAGGAAUGAUGAAUCUGCAUGUGUAUUUAGUAUAUAUAUAUAUAUAUAUAUAUUUAUAUGUAAACUAUACAACAUAUUUAGAAAAAUUAAUAAACCUCGAAAAUACAGGAAUUGGAAUUUUAUACAUGUAAGUUUGAUUCCAGUGUAUAUCUCUCCAGCUUGAGAGAGAUAUAUCCCAACAGGAGGGUUUGACCUAUGUGUCUAUGCAAGUUUUGAAAAGGAAGCAGUUAUUUUGAAAAUCUUCUAUAUAAUGAAGAGGUCUGGAGAGCAGGAGUGUAAGAACACACACAGUUGCUUACAGAACAGAAGAAGAACAUCACAUUUGUAAACAAGGAAUGUGUAACUUCUGAGUUAUAUUUA